This is a long non-coding RNA of Acanthochromis polyacanthus (spiny chromis), 733 nucleotides long. RefSeq lists it as uncharacterized. NCBI's taxonomy places the organism in Eukaryota, Metazoa, Chordata, Actinopteri, Pomacentridae. The record is from RefSeq and is a predicted model, not a curated record. The transcript has 3 exons.
GGUUGAAUUUGGAUGGCUUCCCUUCAAACCCCAACAGCUCAAAGGAGUCCUUAUCCAGAGACAGACACAGGCGACCUGAGGACAUACAGACAGGUGAGCUGAGGACAGACAGACAGGUGAGCUGAGGACAGACAGACAGGUGAGCUGAGGACAGACAGACAGGUGAGCUGAGGACAGACAGACAGCCGAGCUGAGGACAGACAGACAGCCGAGCUGAGGACAGACAGACAGGUGAGCUGAGGACAGACAGACAGGUGAGCUGAGGACAGACAGACAGGUGAGCUGAGGACAGACAGACAGCCGAGCUGAGGACAGACAGACAGCCGAGCUGAGGACAGACAGACAGGUGAGCUGAGGACAGACAGACAGGUGAGCUGAGGACAGACAGACAGGUGAGCUGAGGACAUACAGACAGGUGAGCUGAGGACAGACAGACAGGUGAGCUGAGGACAGACAGACAGGUGAGCUGAGGACAUACAGACAGGUGAGCUGAGGACAGACAGACAGGUGAGCUGAGGACAGACAGACAGGUGAGCUGAGGACAGACAGACAGGUGAGCUGAGGACAGACAGACAGGUGAGCUGAGGACAGACAGACAGCCGAGCUGAGGACAGACAGACAGGUGAGCUGAGGACAGACAGACAGCCGAGCUGAGGACAGACAGACAGGUGAGCUGAGGACAGACAGACAGCCGAGCUGAGGACAGACAGACAGGUGAGCUGGAGAAGAUCAG